Molecule: ribosomal RNA, 1451 nt
Filed under: Alishewanella sp. WH16-1
Lineage: Bacteria; Pseudomonadati; Pseudomonadota; Gammaproteobacteria; Alteromonadales; Alteromonadaceae
Description: bacterial LSU rRNA
Rfam family: Bacterial large subunit ribosomal RNA
Source: RNAcentral
CGCGUGAAAGUGUGUAGGUUGGGUGUUUAGGAAAAUCCGGACGCCUAAGACUGAGACACGAGACGAGUCACUACGGUGACGAAGUUGCUGACGCUCUGCUUCCAGGAAAAGCCUCUAAGCUUCAGGUAUUGGUGACCGUACCCUAAACCGACACAGGUGGUCAGGUAGAGCAUACCAAGGCGCUUGAGAGAACUCGGCUGAAGGAACUAGGCAAAAUAGUACCGUAACUUCGGGAGAAGGUACGCUCUUGUGUGUGAAGGACUUGCUCCGUAAGCACGUGAGAGUCGCAGUGACCAGCUGGCUGCAACUGUUUAUUAAAAACACAGCACUCUGCAAACACGUAAGUGGACGUAUAGGGUGUGACACCUGCCCGGUGCCGGAAGGUUAAUUGAUGGGGUUAGCGCAAGCGAAGCUCUUGAUCGAAGCCCCGGUAAACGGCGGCCGUAACUAUAACGGUCCUAAGGUAGCGAAAUUCCUUGUCGGGUAAGUUCCGACCUGCACGAAUGGUGUAAUGAUGGCCAGGCUGUCUCCAGCCGAGACUCAGUGAAAUUGAAAUUGCGGUGAAGAUGCCGUAUACCCGCGGCUAGACGGAAAGACCCCGUGAACCUUUACUAUAGCUUGGCACUGAACAUUGACCCUACAUGUGUAGGAUAGGUGGGAGGCUUUGAAGCUGGGACGCUAGUCCUGGUGGAGCCGUCCUUGAAAUACCACCCUUGUAUGUUUGAUGUUCUAACGUAGGUCCCUGAAUCGGGAUUGCGGACAGUGUCUGGUGGGUAGUUUGACUGGGGCGGUCUCCUCCUAAAGCGUAACGGAGGAGCACGAAGGUUGGCUAAGUACGGUCGGACAUCGUACGGUUAGUGUAAUGGUAGAAGCCAGCUUAACUGCGAGACAGACACGUCGAGCAGGUACGAAAGUAGGUCAUAGUGAUCCGGUGGUUCUGUAUGGAAGGGCCAUCGCUCAACGGAUAAAAGGUACUCCGGGGAUAACAGGCUGAUACCGCCCAAGAGUUCAUAUCGACGGCGGUGUUUGGCACCUCGAUGUCGGCUCAUCACAUCCUGGGGCUGAAGUCGGUCCCAAGGGUAUGGCUGUUCGCCAUUUAAAGUGGUACGCGAGCUGGGUUUAGAACGUCGUGAGACAGUUCGGUCCCUAUCUGCCGUGGGCGUUGGAUAAUUGAGUGGAGUUGCUCCUAGUACGAGAGGACCGGAGUGAACGAACCACUGGUGUUCGGGUUGUCAUGCCAAUGGCACUGCCCGGUAGCUAUGUUCGGAACGGAUAACCGCUGAAAGCAUCUAAGCGGGAAGCCGGCCACAAGAUGAGUUAUCCCUUACCCCCUGAGGGUACUAAAGGGUCGUUGGAGACCACAACGUUGAUAGGUGAGGUGUGGAAGCGCUGCGAGGCGUUGAGCUAACUCAUACUAAUUGCCCGAGAGGCUUAACCAUACAACGCCCAAG